GUGAUCACUUAUACUAACAUAGGAAUGAUACAGAGAAGAGUAGCAUGCCCCUGUAAAAGGAUGCAACACAAAUUUGCAAGGCAUUCCAUAUUUUU
Macaca mulatta (Rhesus monkey) is the source of this 95-nucleotide small nuclear RNA. Lineage: Eukaryota; Metazoa; Chordata; Mammalia; Primates; Cercopithecidae. The record is from Ensembl.